This 30-nucleotide non-coding RNA is filed under the name Mus musculus (house mouse). The record is from RNAcentral. Lineage: Eukaryota; Metazoa; Chordata; Mammalia; Rodentia; Muridae.
UGACAUGAUAUAAUGUGGCGGUUUGAAAGA